UUACGCUGUUAUCCCUAAGGUAAUUUAGUCUUAUAAUCACUAAAAAUGGAUCAAAAAUUAUAAACUAAAUAUAAGAAAAUAAAAAGAGUUAUAUUAAUCUUCCCAUCACCCCAACAAAAUUCAAUUAAUACUAAAAAUUUUAUCCCACAAAAAAUAAAAAUUAAAUUAAACUCUAUAGGGUCUUCUCGUCCCAAAAAAAUAUUUAGGCAUUUUAACCUAAAAUUUAAAUUCAAUAAAAUACCACUAAGAAAGUUAAUACCUCGUCAAACCAUUCAUACAAGCCUCCAUUUAAAAAACUAAUUAUUAUGCUACCUUUGCACAGUUAAAAUACUGCGGCCUUUCAAUAAACUACCAACGGGCAGGCCCUAUUUCCUAUAUAUAUAUAUAAAUUGGCAGGAAAAGAUGUUUUUGUUAAACAGGUG
This 422-nucleotide ribosomal RNA is filed under the name Cryptocercus wrighti. RNAcentral describes it as "partial 16S ribosomal RNA". Lineage: Eukaryota; Metazoa; Arthropoda; Insecta; Blattodea; Cryptocercidae. The record is from RNAcentral.